UGGUGGAGUGAUUUGUCUGGUUAAUUCCGUUAACGAACGAGACCUCAGCCUGCUAAAUAGUCGAGCGAAUUCUUCCCGAAUUCGUGUUCCCAUUUUCUCGGCUUCUUAGAGGGACUGUCUGUAUCUAGCAGAAGGAAGUGUGAGGCAAUAACA
Molecule: ribosomal RNA, 153 nt
Filed under: uncultured eukaryote
Lineage: Eukaryota
Description: partial 18S ribosomal RNA
Rfam family: Eukaryotic small subunit ribosomal RNA
Source: RNAcentral